This is a non-coding RNA of Danio rerio (zebrafish), 4409 nucleotides long. Lineage: Eukaryota; Metazoa; Chordata; Actinopteri; Cypriniformes; Danionidae. The record is from Ensembl.
GAUUCCAGAGAAUGGUAAAUGAUCGAUGGAAAAUCAUGAACAGUGUUUCAGAACUCGAGGAUGGACAGCAGCAUAAAUCGCAGAGGAUGAGCUGUAGUUAUCUCCUGUGCACCAUUCUGCUGUUUGUUGCCGUUUUACUGGCCGUGACAGUAACCGGGAUCAUCCUCCUGAUGAACCAUUACCAGGCUCCCAGCGGCCCCGAUGGCCCCCCGCUCAUCAGCACCAAUCAGGACGAGGGAAACGCCCUGGUGACCAUCGAGCGGGGCGAUGGCUCCCGCAUCAACAUCUUCAUCGACCCCAACUGUCCCGACUACAACAAUAACUUCCUGCGUCUGGAGGGGGUUCAGACCUCACUGCUGCACUCACUCACCGACCACGACACUGAUCUGAAAUCAGUGAAAGGCCAGGAUCGGGCUCUGCUGGUUAAACUGGCUGAGGAGGUGGCCAAACUGUCCGCUCACGCCAGCCAGCUGAAGAUGGAGUACAACGCUUUGAGGCAAGGCCAGGGCAACAUCGGGCAGGAGCUAAGCACACUGCAGACGGAACAGGGCAGACUCAUACAGCUACUGUCAGAAAGCCAGAUCAACAUGGUGAAAGUGGUGAACUCGGUGAGUGACGCGCUCAGCUCCAUGCAGAAGGAAAAUGGAAACAUCAAGAGCCGUCUUAAGGCAGAUCUGCAGAGGGCUCCGGUGCGCAGUGUCCGGCCCAAAGGCUGCGCCGCUGGAGAGGGUUCCAGACCCAGAGACUGCAGUGACAUCUAUGCCAGCGGGCAAAGAGAGGAUGGCAUCUACUCGGUGUUCCCCACGCAUUACCCAGCAGGCUUCCAGGUCUUCUGUGACAUGACUACUGAUGGAGGCGGGUGGACGGUGAUUCAACGCAGAGAAGAUGGCUCAGUUAACUUUUUCCGUGACUGGGAAGCCUAUCGUGAAGGAUUUGGCAAGAUAACAGGAGAGCAUUGGCUAGGCAUGAAACGAAUCCAUGCACUUACUAUUCAAGCCAACUACGAGCUGCGGAUUGACCUGGAGGACUUCGAGAACAGCACCUCCUUUGCGCAGUACGGCUCUUUUGGAGUGGGUUUGUUCUCAGUUGACCCAGACGAGGAUGGUUACCCACUGAGCAUCGCUGACUACUCCGGCACCGCAGGUAUGAAUCACACUGUUCUGCCUUUGAGCAAGAGAUGGCGAGCUCGCCUGCGGUGCGCAGCCAAAAACUAUUACAUUUAUUGCAAAGGCAGAGGUCUCGCGGAAAGCCAGAGGUCAGAGUGUGGCGUUUUUUUAAAGCUCUCUGGUCGUAAGACUUUGCUGCACAACUGCAAUUCAGUCGUGGUACCGCAUUGAUGUCUUGAGCCAAAGUUCAUGUCAGGUUUAAUGGCGAGCCGCAGGUAAACGCUGGUAAAAGCUCUUGGGCUGAUAUGUAGUUUCGUCCAGACAGACUUUGGACAGAUUACUCUGACCAAAACGCCCACUUUAGAGCAUAAGAGACAAUCCAGCUGACACCUAAAGUGUCUAGUUUUAUUAGAAAAGAAUGAAAAAAAGCUUAAUAAAAUGUGUUGGUUAAAGAUGUAAGGGUCCUAUUUUGGUGGCUACUUUAAGUUUACAAAAGGGAUUUUCUAUUUAUAUGUACAAGACAAUAGCUGCAUGCCAAAUGGCACACUAUGCACAAUGCACUAUGUACUUAUGCACUGUUACGUAGCAGAUGCACCUCGCUACGCACAGAAGGUUAAGAAUGACCGCUGUUAAAAGAGGUUACCUGGAGUCCCCGUCUUUGUUUCCCAAGCACUCACACACACAGGCCAAGUUUUCAAAAGGAAUAACAGAUUUAUUAAACAAAUAUUUCGGUGUCAGAAUCAGGGAACAAAAAGGCCAAAACAAGGUAAGCUGCCAAAUAUUAAACUUCUUACCUAAACCGAAAAUAAAGUUCCGUAAAUAAAACAUACAAUUCUACCCUCCAUAACUAUCGAUUAAACAUGAGAAAACGGGACAAAAGAAAAAGGGCCUUCCCUUUGAUCAUUCAGCAGUAAGUAAAAAUUUAGCCGCAGCUAACACAGCAUACCUUCCUAGUACCGUAUUUAACAGAGUAUCUCACCAGAUGACUUUGAAACAGAGUUGUAGAAAGUAAUUAAACCAUCAGCCACCGCUAAUCCAGGUUACCGUCCUAUUACCGUAAUAAACAGAGUAUCUCAAAGGAUUACUUUGGAAAAAGGUUUCAGACAGAAAGAGAUCACUGCCACACAGAGAACUCAGAGCGAUCUGCUCACACACACACACACACACACACACAACAGCGAGGGGAAACAGGAAGAGAACUCGACGAGCAGCGUCAACAGCAUGCUUUUAUAACUGGCACCACCCCUCUCAAAGCUGCACCUGAUCUCCGCUCAUGUGGAGAGAGAGAAAGAGACAGAUAAUAGAGGAUACAACACACACAGGAACAAUACACACUAGCAUUGUCAAAAUAAUGUUACUCAAUAUAUAACAUGCACUUACACACUCAACAGCAUAGUACAUGAAUGUAGUGUCGUCCCAAAUAGAACACUAAUGUUUUUUUUGUACUAAGCGGAAAUUUAAACUGUUUCCCUAAUGAUGUUUGACGGUUGCCAAAUUAGUGAAAUAAGUGACCAAACUACCAAAUAACAGCUGCCAUGAGUAUAACCGCAUUCACCAUCAGACCAUCAAACAAAACUAUACAUUUGUUACAUGGAUAUUUAAAUGUAUGUAUAAAUUGCCUUAUAUACGGAUAGAAUUUAUAUCUAAAUAUAAAUAAACAUCAAUUAUAGUCAAUUAGUUUGUUAGAUAGCGAACUUUAAGUGUUAAAAGCAAGUAUAUGUUAUGCACAGAGAGGAAAUCCGAAACUUACUGGCCUGAGUUGCACCCCAGCAAAAACAAAAAGCUCAGCCUAGAAUAGAAACUAUCAUGAGAAUCACAAGACUAAUUUAAAGUUUCCUGGCCUGUUGUCAGCGGUGUUCAGAUAUAUUCCUGCAGCACGCAAAGCAACGGGGGCUGCAGGUUAUCUUGAGCGCCGAGGCGAAGUGAUGAGCAAUUCUCAAUGCUUCACCUGCGCUGUCGCCGGGGCCUCUUUUUAACGUUAAUUGGGUCCCGCUCUCCAUUAUUCUCAGGUGUUUUUCCCUGAGCGCUGCCCUCCUCGCUGGGGCCGGACGCGGGCCUGACCUUCGCUGUAUGCCGGAAAGGGCAGGGAUAAUGAAGCCGUACAGUACAUCUAUGGCAUUCCAAUAAAGCAGGCACCCGGCUUAUUACGGGAGACGUAAACAAACAGUCCUAUUAACAUAAAUCAAGAGGAGAAUACAGCAUCCACGCGUCUAAUUAGCCAGGCUGUCUUAAACAUCCCGCUGGAGGAGUCAUGCCACAUUGAUUCCCAAUCUUAUCAAUUACGUCUUGUUUGGACUCUUAAGCCGCUUUCUCCAUUAAAAUGCAUGCAUGGUUGUUUAAUGCAUUAACGUGUACAUGAAUGGUAGCUUGGACUGACCAUAAGCAUUAAAUCGCAUUGUGAUUUUCAUCUGAUCUUUGCUUGCUCAAGUGUGAAACUUAGGCUCAAUCCCAAUUCUUUUUUGUACCUCUUCCCCUUUUCCUCAGCCCCUAAAACCGAGUGUGAAGGGGAAGGGUUUUAAAAUUUACCUCUAAGAAAUGGGACAGCACUACAACACCUGCACAUGUCAUCAUAUGUUGUCGCGAUCUCAUGCUUCAUAUGACGUCAGAUGAUCGCGACUGCUGGAGUUUUUCCAGUUGUGUUAUUUUUUGGUAUUUAUCUACAAGAAAUCACUGAAGGCAACGAUUUCAUGUUAUCAUGACGAUCUCUCGUGGCAAUAUGAUCGUAACUGUACUGCGCAUUUACUCCGUGGCCAUAUUCAUCUAUGUAAACACACCAAAAGCAACAUUAACAUUAUAGCAGACACUGUAAAAACCUCAUUUCCAGCCACUAGACAUUUCUGACAGGGUAUUCCAGUGUCGUUGAGUGUCAGAAUGUUGUGGGACUACUAAACAGGAGUUCAAGAGUUCACAUUUAGAUAUGCUUAGCAUUUAUAGCAGGUUUGGCAUGCUGUCCCGGGAGAUAACCCUGAGCUCGGAGAUAUUUGAGUCAAUAAGCAUAUCAGAGGAUCCGAGAUCAGGAAGGUCUCGAUAGUUCCCCCUUUUGAAAGGGGAGAAAAAGGAGGAGAUGGGGUGGAAGGGGGGAUUCUUCUGAAAUGAAGAUAGGGAAAAAGGUUAGAAAGUGAUCCAUUUAUAGUAGGCUAGGAUCCCUCGGAUUGGAUUAUUACUGAUUCCAAAAGAGUGGCCAGCUGGGCUCAAUCAUAUCACGUUCUCCUCUCGAAAUUAGUUUAUGAAACUUCACUUAUUAUUAGGGAUUAUAGAUAGCAAAAUUUAGCGUUUUUAUUGUAGUAGUAUUUUUAAAAGCAU